GCACCUACGGGAGGCAGCAGUGGGGAAUAUUGCACAAUGGGGGAAACCCUGAUGCAGCAACGCCGCGUGAGUGAAGAAGGUUUUCGGAUUGUAAAGCUCUGUCAGCAGGGACGAAAAAAGACGGUACCUGACUAAGAAGCCCCGGCUAACUACGUGCCAGCAGCCGCGGUAAUACGUAGGGGGCAAGCGUUAUCCGGAUUUACUGGGUGUAAAGGGAGCGUAGACGGCAAGGCAAGCCAGAAGUGAAAGGGCAGGGCUCAACCCUGUACAUGCUUUUGGAACUGUGGGGCUAGAGUGCAGGAGAG
Molecule: ribosomal RNA, 305 nt
Filed under: uncultured bacterium
Lineage: Bacteria
Description: bacterial SSU rRNA
Rfam family: Bacterial small subunit ribosomal RNA
Source: RNAcentral